AGAUGCUUCCCUGUCCCUUCCUUCCUACAACAAUUGUGAAAUGACUUACAAAGAAACAGUUCUGUUUCCUGUAUUAUAGGAACUUCUUGUCCCUUGAAAAUGUUGUUUUUGCUCCAGAGGAAAUGGGUUGGUUUGGCAUGGAAGAGGAAAAGCUCCCCUCCCAGGACCCUAAGUGCCACGGAAGCAGCUGUCUCCGCUGGAAACCAGAGUCCCUACCAACCCAGGAUGUGCCUUCCCGCCACACCAGGAUGUCUGCCUGCCACUCCCCCAGUGGGAGGAAGAGAUCUACUCCAUCCACAAGUUCAAGAUAAGAAAGACCCCUGACUUCUUCUCAAGAUCCAGAACAUUGCUUGACAGAAAUAUUCACCAUUUAGAAAUGAUCCAGCAGAGACUAGGGGGAGCACCACCAGAUUCUACUUCAAAGAAAUCCUGUCAGCAGAAGAUUAAAGAAGGAGUAAAGACCUGUGGCUCUUACGCUGUGACAAUUCUGUUUAAGGAAAAGCUGUUUUGCCAAAGGCAAGUGUGGAGUGUGGAAUAGGGUGCUUUUCACAUGUCCAUCAUGCCAUCCCCCAAGUGCCACCAAGUAUUCUUGCCUCUACAAAAGCAAAGCCAAAUGGGGCAUCUUUCUGUGACCUCAGUACCCGCCA
This 647-nucleotide long non-coding RNA is filed under the name Fukomys damarensis (Damara mole-rat). RNAcentral describes it as "lncRNA (ENSFDAG00000022277.1)". The record is from RNAcentral. Lineage: Eukaryota; Metazoa; Chordata; Mammalia; Rodentia; Bathyergidae.